AUUGCAUGUGACUAACAUCGAGAAUGAACAAUGCAAGAGUUUGCUGGAGUCGUAGUCCAAAUCCAAUGUAUGGCUCGGACUAAUAUGGUCUUAUGACCCCCACCAUCCAGGAUUACUGGAGCCUUA
Hypanus sabinus (Atlantic stingray) is the source of this 126-nucleotide long non-coding RNA. RefSeq lists it as uncharacterized. The record is from RefSeq and is a predicted model, not a curated record. NCBI's taxonomy places the organism in Eukaryota, Metazoa, Chordata, Chondrichthyes, Myliobatiformes, Dasyatidae. The transcript is spliced from 3 exons.